GUGCCAGCAGCCGCGGUAAUACGAAGGGGGCUAGCGUUGUUCGGAAUUACUGGGCGUAAAGCGCGCGUAGGCGGUGAUCCAUGUCAGAGGUGAAAGCCCGGGGCUCAACUCCGGAAUUGCCUUUGAAACGGGAUCGCUAGAGUCCGAGAGAGGAUGGCGGAAUUCCUAGUGUAGAGGUGAAAUUCGUAGAUAUUAGGAAGAACACCGGUGGCGAAGGCGGCCAUCUGGCUCGGUACUGACGCUCAGGCGCGAAAGCGUGGGGAGCAAACAGGAUUAGAUACCCUGGUAGUCCACGCCGUAAACGAUGGGUGCUAGUUGUUAGGAAGUUUACUUCUUAGUGACGUAGCUAACGCGUUAAGCACCCCGCCUGGGGAGUACGGUCGCAAGAUUAAAACUCAAAUGAAUUGACGGGG
Molecule: ribosomal RNA, 413 nt
Filed under: uncultured prokaryote
Description: bacterial SSU rRNA
Rfam family: Bacterial small subunit ribosomal RNA
Source: RNAcentral